RNAcentral lists this long non-coding RNA (917 nucleotides) under Lactuca sativa (garden lettuce). Its description in RNAcentral is "long non-coding RNA (LSAT_LNC006853)". The record is from RNAcentral. Lineage: Eukaryota; Viridiplantae; Streptophyta; Magnoliopsida; Asterales; Asteraceae.
GCUAGUUGCUUUCAUUCAGCGAUCUCCGCCGCCAUCUCCAGCCUUUAGCGUCGUUGAUGUUUAUUCCAUCGAUGAAGUGUUUCACUGAUUCAUGGGUUCACCCUACUGGAGUGUGUUGCUACGAGAUUGGGAGCCAAAAAGGAACCAUGGCCACCACCGUGAGGUGGUGGCUGUCAGUGUGAAUCAAUUGUUGUCGCCACCGUAUGCCACUAAGGGGAGGUGGCUGAGUUCGUUUUGCAAGCAGAAAUUGUAUGUGUGUGUGUUUUUAUUGCAGUUUAGUGGUGUUUGGGUGUUUAGUCUAGCCGGAUAUAGCAAGGAAGNUGUAUGUGUGUGUGUUUAUUGCAGUUUAGUGGUGUUUGGGUGUUUAGUCUAGCCGGAUAUAGCAAGGAAGCCACUACCACCACCAUGAGGUGGUGGCUGCCGCCAAGCGCCACCGUCGGCCACCAUGGUGUGGUUGGGUGUGUGUGUAUUAGUUAGUGUGUGUAUUUUGGAUUAAAGCCUUGUAAUUGUAAUUAGCAAAUUGAAUAAUGAAAAGAAUCAUAACCACCACCAUAAGGUGGUGGCCGCCGCCUCGAACCGCCAUUGACCACUACCCGAGGUGGUGGUGGGUGGUGCCCUGCUAGCAAACCCUAAUGGGCUUAGAGAUUGGUUUUGGGCCUAUUGGGCCAUGUUUGGGUGGAAAACCAUAAUUAUGAGUAUUGGGCCUUAGACUAAUUGGGCCACUUGUGGGCCAUUGGGAUUGGAUUGUGAAUUAAGCCCAAACUAUUCCAUGCCAUUUAUCUAGUAGAUUAAAGGACUUAAUGGAUUAAGUCCUUAAUGGGCUAAUUGAGAAAAUACUAAUAUUUGAGAGAUUAUCAGCACACACACGAGAAUUAUUUAAUAAGUGAAUAUUAAAUGAUAAUCAUUGGCAGAAAUUA